Quaeritorhiza haematococci is the source of this 108-nucleotide non-coding RNA. NCBI's taxonomy places the organism in Eukaryota, Fungi, Chytridiomycota, Chytridiomycetes, Quaeritorhizaceae. The record is from the annotation of a GenBank genome assembly.
CUGGCCUUAGCUCAGUUGGUAGCAGCGGCAGACUGUAGCGGCACCCACGCUAAGAUUGCAAACGUCACAGACAUCUGUAGGUCCCCGGUUCAACUCCGGGAGGCCAGA